ACCUUCUCACUCAAUGCCUCCCCCACCUGCCCUGUUCCUUCAGCAUGGACCAUGUGAACGGUGGAGAAGUCCUCGAGAGGUGAUCUUGGGAUCACUUCCUGAGGAUCCUUGAUGCCGAGGAAUGUUCAUCCACCUUGCUAUGGUCUGGAUAGCCUGCUGAUCCAGAGCCAGAGCGGGAUGGAUGGAUAUAUAUACAAUAUCUGGGUGACCACAGAUGACGCGCUUGCUGUUCAAAGUCGGGACCACUCCUCUGUGCAUCAGUUGGGGACGUCUCUGCACUGCUGACCUGUCUCCACUCAAGAUGAUCCCCUGCUGGCCCCACUAUGGACUGGACUCUCACAUUAUUAACUAGAUCCACUCAACAUCCAUUGCACCGGUCGCCCAGGGUUAUGACCCCCCAGGAAAUGUGAGUGGACAGUGUGGUUUUUGUUUUUAUAUUGACUAUUUUUUUAAAUGUUUUUUUUAUUUAUUUAUUUUUUUUAAUCCGUUAUUACUCACAUCUUCUCUUAAUAUUUCAUUUUCCUAUUGUGUAUUUUGUUUUAAAAAGGUUGUAAUUAUUUAGGUCAUAUUUAGUACCCUUGUGCGUGCAUGAGUGACAUUUUCACUUAUGACUGAAAUUUUCACGUGUGAAAAAAAAACAAAAAAAACAAGGCAAUGAUGUAAGAAGAAGAUAAUGUACCUCCAAAAAAGGGGGGUCAGGGGAAGGUGCGGGGAUUGUUUUUUGACCCCCCCAGGAAGUGUGUUUGAGUUUUUUGUUUGUUUUUGGGUUUUUUUAUAAGUGAAAAUUUCACUCAUAAGUGAAAAUGUCACUCAUGCACACACAAGGGUACUAAAUAUGACCUAAAUACAUAUCUACAUACUCAAAGUUCGUACAUCCACACGCACAUUCACUGUACAAACAUACACAUACACAUACUGUACAUAUACAUUCACUGUACAAACAUACAUAUACACAUUCUGUACAUAUACAAGUACAUAUGCAUACAUACACUCAUCAAACAUAUAUUAACGUUGUUGCCCUAGGGUAAACUGGGUAACACAUGGCACACUGACAAAGCUUAACCUAUUAUAACUAUAACAAUCUACAAGGUUAAUAGAGGUUGCUUCUCUUUCUAUCCCCUCCUGCUACGGCCCGGCUGCACCAAAUGAUAAUAUAAAUACAUUUAAUAAAGUCAAAUACAAAUAAGACAACAAGAGAAGUAUCCUAAACUUCUCUUUUGUAAAGUAAAUCUGAACAGCCGAUAUGGGCAUCUACAUCAACUAUAUGAUUUGCCUGAGAAGCUGGACAGGACAAAAAAUAAAAUAAAAUAAAAAAUAAAA
This is a long non-coding RNA of Nerophis lumbriciformis (worm pipefish), 1320 nucleotides long. RefSeq lists it as uncharacterized. Lineage: Eukaryota; Metazoa; Chordata; Actinopteri; Syngnathiformes; Syngnathidae. The record is from RefSeq and is a predicted model, not a curated record.